RNAcentral lists this ribosomal RNA (253 nucleotides) under uncultured bacterium. RNAcentral describes it as "partial 16S ribosomal RNA". It matches the Rfam family "Bacterial small subunit ribosomal RNA", at positions 524 to 776 of the family's 1533-position model. The record is from RNAcentral.
UACGAAGGGUGCUAGCGUUGCUCGGAAUUACUGGGCGUAAAGGGUGCGUAGGCGGCCUGUUUAGUCAGAGGUGAAAGCCCAGGGCUCAACCUUGGAAUUGCCUUUGAUACUGGCAGUCUUGAGUACGGAAGAGGUAUGUGGAACUCCGAGUGUAGAGGUGAAAUUCGUAGAUAUUCGGAAGAACACCAGUGGCGAAGGCGACAUACUGGUCCGUUACUGACGCUGAGGCUCGAAAGCGUGGGGAGCAAACAGG